AGUGAACGCUGGCGGUAGGCCUAACACAUGCAAGUCGAACGGCAGCACAGUAAGAGCUUGCUCUUACGGGUGGCGAGUGGCGGACGGGUGAGGAAUACAUCGGAAUCUACUUUUUCGUGGGGGAUAACGUAGGGAAACUUACGCUAAUACCGCAUACGACCUACGGGUGAAAGCAGGGGAUCUUCGGACCUUGCGCGAUUGAAUGAGCCGAUGUCGGAUUAGCUAGUUGGAGGGGUAAAGGCCCACCAAGGCGACGAUCCGUAGCUGGUCUGAGAGGAUGAUCCGGCACACUGGAACUGAGACACGGUCCAGACUCCUACGGGAGGCAGCAGUGGGGAAUAUUGGACAAUGGGCGCAAGCCUGAUCCAGCCAUACCGCGUGGGUGAAGAAGGCCUUCGGGUUGUAAAGCCCUUUUGUUGGGAAAGAAAAGCAGCAGGUUAAUACCCCGCUGUUCUGACGUUACCCAAAGAAUAAGCACCGGCUAACUUCGUG
This 492-nucleotide ribosomal RNA is filed under the name uncultured bacterium. RNAcentral's name for it is "partial 16S ribosomal RNA". It matches the Rfam family "Bacterial small subunit ribosomal RNA", at positions 29 to 507 of the family's 1533-position model. The record is from RNAcentral.